ACUCAAAUGAAUUGACGGGUCCCCGCACAAGCAGCGGAGCGUGUGGUUUAAUUCGAUGCAACGCGAAGAACCUUACCUGGGCUUGACAUGUAUUCGCAACGCUCUGAAAGGAGCGCCUCCGCAAGGACGGAUACACAGAUGUUGCAUGGCUGUCGUCAGCUCGUGUCGUGAGAUGUUGGGUUAAGUCCCUCAACGAGCGCAACCCUUAUUUCUAGUUAGAGAUCUAGAGAGACUGCCGGAAACAAACCGGAGGAAGGCGGGGAUGAUGUCAAGUCAGCAUGACUCUUACGUCCAGGGCUACACACACGCUACAAUGGAGAGUACAGCGAGAAGCCAACCCGCAAGGGUGAGCAGACCUCUAAAAGCUUUCCUCAGUUCAGAUUGCACUCUGAAACCCGAGUGCAUGAAGUCGGAGUUGCUAGUAACCGCGUGUCAGCAUAGCGCGGUGAAUAUGUUCCCGGGGAUUGCACACACCGCCCGU
RNAcentral lists this ribosomal RNA (481 nucleotides) under uncultured bacterium. Its description in RNAcentral is "partial 16S ribosomal RNA". It matches the Rfam family "Bacterial small subunit ribosomal RNA", at positions 899 to 1397 of the family's 1533-position model. The record is from RNAcentral.